GAUGAACGCUGGCGGCGUGCCUAAUACAUGCAAGUCGAACGCAUUGAGAGAAGUGCUUGCACUUUUCAAUUUGAGUGGCGAACGGGUGAGUAACACGUGGGCAACCUACCUGAUAGCGGGGGAUAACGAGUGGAAACAUUCGCUAAUACCGCAUAACAAUAGAGAAGGCAUCUUCUUUAUUUAAAAGGCGCUCUAAAGCGUCACUAUCAGAUGGGCCCGCGGUGCAUUAGUUAGUUGGUGGGUUGAAGGCCUACCAAGACGUUGAUGCAUAGCCGAGUUGAGAGACUGAUCGGCCACAUUGGGACUGAGACACGGCCCAAACUCCUACGGGAGGCUGCAGUAGGGAAUCUUCCACAAUGGACGAAAGUCUGAUGGAGCAACGCCGCGUGUGUGAUGAAGGCUUUCGGGUCGUAAAGCACUGUUGUAUGGGAAGAAAUGCUAGGCUAGCAAAUGAGCUUAGUUUGACGGUACCAUACCAGAAAGGGACGGCUAAAUACGUGCCAGCCGCCGCGGUAA
Molecule: ribosomal RNA, 516 nt
Filed under: uncultured bacterium
Lineage: Bacteria
Description: partial 16S ribosomal RNA
Rfam family: Bacterial small subunit ribosomal RNA
Source: RNAcentral